GAUGAACGCUGGCGGCGUGCCUAAUACAUGCAAGUCGAGCGAACAGACGAGGAGCUUGCGCCUCUGACGUGAGCGGAGGACGGGUGAGAAACACGUGGAUAACCUACCUAUCAGACUGGGAUAAUUUCGGGACACCGGAGCUAAUCCCGGAUAAUAUAUUGAACCGCAGGGUUGAAUAGAGAAAGACGGUUUUGCUGUAACUAAUAGAUGGUUACGGGCCGCAUGAGCUAGUUGGUAAGGUAACGGCUUAUCAAGGCAACGAUGCGUAGCCGACGUGAGAGGGUGAUCGCCGACACUGGAGCGGGGACACGGUCCAGACUCCUGCGGUAGGCAGCAGUAGGGAAUGUGCCGCAGAGGGCGAAAGCAUGACGGAGCAACGCCGCGUGUGUGAUGGAGGUCUUCGGAUCGUAAAGCCCUGUUAUUAGGGAAGAACAAAUGUGUAAGUUGAUGUGCACGUCUUGACGGUACCUAGUCAGGAAGCCACGGCUAACUACGUG
RNAcentral lists this ribosomal RNA (497 nucleotides) under uncultured bacterium. Its description in RNAcentral is "partial 16S ribosomal RNA". It matches the Rfam family "Bacterial small subunit ribosomal RNA", at positions 28 to 507 of the family's 1533-position model. The record is from RNAcentral.